RNAcentral lists this ribosomal RNA (253 nucleotides) under uncultured bacterium. RNAcentral's name for it is "partial 16S ribosomal RNA". It matches the Rfam family "Bacterial small subunit ribosomal RNA", at positions 524 to 776 of the family's 1533-position model. The record is from RNAcentral.
UACGUAGGGUGCGAGCGUUAAUCGGAAUUACUGGGCGUAAAGUGUGCGCAGGCGGCCGCGCAAGUCGAGUGUGAAAUCCCCGAGCUUAACUUGGGAAUUGCGCUCGAAACUACGUGGCUGGAGUGUGGCAGAGGAAGGUGGAAUUCCACGUGUAGCGGUGAAAUGCGUAGAUAUGUGGAAGAACACCGAUGGCGAAGGCAGCCUUCUGGGCCAACACUGACGCUCAUGCACGAAAGCGUGGGGAGCAAACAGG